UACGUAGGGGGCAAGCGUUGUCCGGAAUCAUUGGGCGUAAAGCGCGUGUAGGCGGCCCGGUAAGUCCGCUGUGAAAGUCCAGGGCUCAACCCUGGGAUGCCGGUGGAUACUGUCGGGCUCGAGUCCGGAAGAGGAGUGUGGAAUUCCUGGUGUAGCGGUGAAAUGCUUAGAUAUCAGGAGGAACACCAGUGGCGAAGGCGGUGUUCUGGGCCAGUACUGACGCUGAGGCGCGAAAGCGUGGGGAGCGAACAGG
This 253-nucleotide ribosomal RNA is filed under the name uncultured bacterium. RNAcentral's name for it is "partial 16S ribosomal RNA". It matches the Rfam family "Bacterial small subunit ribosomal RNA", at positions 524 to 776 of the family's 1533-position model. The record is from RNAcentral.